UGGUUAUAAUGCUCCUCAACAGGUACAUAUAACACAAGGAGAUCAUAAAGGAAAUGGUGUUAUAGUCUCGUGGGUCACCACAGAUGAACCAGGUUCAGAUACAGUGCUUUACUGGUCUGAAACUAGUGGGGUCAGAUUACUUGCAGAAGGUUUCCAUGUUAGAUACAAGUACUACAAUUAUACUUCUGGUUACAUCCACCAUUGCACCAUCAAGAAUUUGGAGUUUGAUACUAGAUAUAACUAUGUGGUCGGGAUAGGGAAUACUACACGUAAAUUCUGGUUCGAAACUCCUCCUAAAUCAGGCCCUGAUGUCCCUUAUACUUUUGGCCUUAUAGGG
RNAcentral lists this unclassified non-coding RNA (337 nucleotides) under Hevea brasiliensis (rubber tree). Lineage: Eukaryota; Viridiplantae; Streptophyta; Magnoliopsida; Malpighiales; Euphorbiaceae. The record is from RNAcentral.